RNAcentral lists this long non-coding RNA (1434 nucleotides) under Oryza brachyantha (malo sina). RNAcentral describes it as "long non-coding RNA (OBRA_LNC003012)". The record is from RNAcentral. Lineage: Eukaryota; Viridiplantae; Streptophyta; Magnoliopsida; Poales; Poaceae.
UGGACUAUAUUGGGUCUCUCUGGUUACAGCACACACCUUGACUGAAUUUUGCAUCAGCAAUGAUUGUGUACAAGGCUCUUUCUCCUCCACCAGAUCCAUGUAUAUCUUCAGGAACAGAAAAGAAAAUCUUUCCCUCCAUUAUCCAAUUCUGUUUUCUUUUAAAUAGAAUUCAUCAUUCUCAUUCUAGAAUUGAACUCUGAACAGAAUUGGUUGGGGGAAGUCAGGACAGAUUUUAUGAUCGGUAACCUAGCUUUUCUCAUUGUUAUCCCAUGACAUUGUUGAAUUAACUGUAAUUUUGAUGCGUUCAUGUGUUCUGGAGGGGAUGCUAACCGGUGCCCUUUUUGGAUACUUCAACCUCCCAAGUGUUCCAUGUAAGCUGCUUUCCUAAUUAUUGAAGUUACUAAUUCUUCUUCCAGUUUAAGGUACUUAUCACUUAUCAUCAAGAUUUAACCUAAUGGCACCUGAACAUUAUGUUCAGAAAUGUUCACUUCUGAUGCCUUAGUGGCUCAGUUCACUCAUCAGUCCUCAAAUCUUCAACCCUCACAUGGACUCUGAAACUAAAAUCGAAUUCUAUAUUCAAUUUAGUGCUCCAGUUUCAUCUCAACUGUUUCGUGUAAUUAACAAUUAUAUAAACGAUUCCCCUGAAUGAAUGAUCAAUGCAGCAGCACAAAGCAAUCGAAUCUGUGGCGAAGUCGAUCUAACCAGCGACGAGAAGACAGAGGGAGGGUGGCAUCACGGGUACCUCGGUAGAGCUCGAGGCCGCGGCGACGAAGGAGGCAAUGGAGCUCUCGACCUUCUCCUGCAUCCCCGGACGACCCUCUCUAGCCGUCUCCCCGUCCCCUGCAGCCGCAACCCACCCUCCCGCUCCGCUCCGGUCUCCUGCGCCAUCGCCGAGGCGGGGACUCGAUGGCCGGCCGUGCCAGUGCUCGACGACUUACCUCACCGGCUCGUCGGAGCGCUCGCUCGCAGCAACGGCCACUUCCCUUCUCCCCCCACAUAAACCUCGCCAGCGCCACCGCUGCCACUCGCCGGGCCGCCGCCGACGCCGCCGGCGUCCCACGCGCAGCGACCAGCUUAAUAUGGGCCUAUGUUCACUGGCAGUACACGUUGGGCUAUUAAUUUCAGCCCACACGCAAACCGCAAAUCCCCAAACGGCCCAUACAAUUAUGGGCCGCACGUUACAUUCGUUCUGGGCUGACAAAUGGGCCCCAUUGGUCUGGGCCGCCACGUUUGGACCGUAUUACGGCCCAAACAAGAUUGAGUUGUGCAAUGUUCAGUUCAUUCUUGUUUGUUCGCAUGUAUCAUUCAGAAAGUUAGGUCAUGUCCGGACCACGGAUUAAAAUAAGUUAGGUUAUUAUAUCCGGACCAUGGAUUAAAAUGUAGUAAAAUGUAAGUGGUCUCCUUUGCAAUGGAUCAGGUUAACACUACUUGGCA